Molecule: long non-coding RNA, 717 nt
Organism: Gasterosteus aculeatus aculeatus (three-spined stickleback)
Lineage: Eukaryota; Metazoa; Chordata; Actinopteri; Perciformes; Gasterosteidae
Source: Ensembl
GAGCUGCCACCGACUGCGGAGGUGUUCCGUGUCCCCGAGCUGGAGCCGACUACGGAGGUGUUCCGUGUCCCCGAGCCGCCGACGGCGACAACCGCGGAGGUGUUCCGUGUCCCCGAGCUGCCGCCGCCGACCCCGGAGGUUUCCCGUGUCCCCGAGCCUGCCAUUCUAGAGACGUUCCGUGCCCUGCAGUCGCCGCUCCGGAGCCGGCUUGGUGACCGCCCGCCGGGCCGACCCCCAGAGGCUCCCCGCUCGUCUGGCCACCCGCCGGGCCGCCCGCCAGAGUUUCCCGGGUGGUCCGACCAACGUCUCUGGUUUCCCUGCCCCCCCACCCUUUGUUUUGCUCUAGUGUGAGCCGCCUGGAAGUCGGUCCUUGAGGGGGGGGUACUGUCACGGUGUGGUUCACUUCCUGUUUUAUUUUGUAGUUUUCUGCCACUCGUGUCCCCGGGUAACUUCACUUCCUGCCUUGUCUCGUCAUCCCCUGUGUUCGUCUAAUAGUUUCCACCUGUGUUCCAAUCACCUGCACCUCCCUUGUGUAUUUAAGCCAUGUAUCUCCUGUGUCACUUGUCGCGUCAUUGUCUUUCGCCACGCAUGUCCUUGUCUUUUGUCACACAUGUUGCCUGCUGCGUUUCCUCCCGGUUCCUGUGUUUUUGAACAUUGACUAUUAAAGUCCUUUGUGUUUCCUGAACACUCUGCGUUUGAGUCCUGCCUUCCACCCGC